UAGGAUGUGACUUGCUCCUCCUUACUUUCCACUAUGAUUGUGAGGCCUCCUCAGCCAUGUGGAACUUUCAUUCACAGACAGCAAAAUGUGUAGUUGCCUCCUUGUCUCCCAGUGAUAAACCCAUGUAAAAUUUUACCAAAAAGAAAAUGGAUAACUGAAAGAAGAAACUGUGAAACGAAGAUAAAAGCACACCAAUGAGUAAAAAAGUGACAAUGCUGGAAAUGAAAUUGGAAGUGAAUAUAAAUCCUGCUCCCUAAACACCAC
This is a long non-coding RNA of Symphalangus syndactylus (siamang), 264 nucleotides long. RefSeq lists it as uncharacterized. Lineage: Eukaryota; Metazoa; Chordata; Mammalia; Primates; Hylobatidae. The record is from RefSeq and is a predicted model, not a curated record.